UCCGUAGGGCGCGAGCGUUGUCCGGAAUUAUUGGGCGUAAAGAGCUCGUAGGCGGCCUGUUGCGUCUGCUGUGAAAUCCCGGGGCUUACCCCCGGGCGUGCAGUGGAUACGGGCAGGCUGGAGGCAGGCAGGGGAGAAUGGAAUUCCCGGUGUAGCGGUGAAAUGCGCAGAUAUCGGGAGGAACACCGGUGGCGAAGGCGGUUCUCUGGGCCUGUUCUGACGCUGAGGAGCGAAAGCGUGGGGAGCGAACAGG
This 253-nucleotide ribosomal RNA is filed under the name uncultured bacterium. Its description in RNAcentral is "partial 16S ribosomal RNA". It matches the Rfam family "Bacterial small subunit ribosomal RNA", at positions 524 to 776 of the family's 1533-position model. The record is from RNAcentral.